Molecule: non-coding RNA, 367 nt
Organism: Pelobates cultripes (western spadefoot toad)
Lineage: Eukaryota; Metazoa; Chordata; Amphibia; Anura; Pelobatidae
Source: the annotation of a GenBank genome assembly
CAGCAACUCACUGAGCCAAGAGAGACAGGGCACUCAGCAACUCACUGAGCCAAGAGAGAGACAGGGCACUCAGCAACUCACUGAGCCAAGAGAGACAGGGCACUCAGCAACUCACUGAGCCAAGAGAGAGACAGGGCACACUGCAACUCACUUAGCCAAGAGAGAGAGGGCACCGACACAGCAACUCACUGAGCCAAGAGAGACAGGGCACUCAGCAACUCACUUAGCCAAGAGAGACAGGGCACACUGCAACUCACUGAGCCAAGAGAGACAGGGCACUCAGCAACUCACUGAGCAAAGAGAGACAGGGCACUCAGCAACUCACUGAGCCAAGAGAGAGACAGGGCACCGACACAGCAACUCACUG